ACACACACACACACACACACACAUUUUUUCUCACAAUUUUUUUUCCAGAUGUCUGCAUCAUAGACUCAUGAGUA
Non-coding RNA from Pangasianodon gigas (Mekong giant catfish), 74 nucleotides. Lineage: Eukaryota; Metazoa; Chordata; Actinopteri; Siluriformes; Pangasiidae. The record is from the annotation of a GenBank genome assembly.